Long non-coding RNA from Helianthus annuus (common sunflower), 194 nucleotides. RefSeq lists it as uncharacterized. The transcript is spliced from 3 exons. Lineage: Eukaryota; Viridiplantae; Streptophyta; Magnoliopsida; Asterales; Asteraceae. The record is from RefSeq and is a predicted model, not a curated record.
AUUAUUUCUUUGUUUUUACCAGCCUGGAUUUAUUAAGCUUUGAUGUUUCCGUAUUCGAUCCUGACACCGGAACAGAAGUUUUUCUAAAAAAGUCUACUGCGGAUGAUGAUAUGAUAGUUGAACAAAAGUUGCCGGCUGAUGUGUGUGAAGAUGAUCUGGAAGGAAAUCAAAAACAUGUUAAAGGCAAGUCCAAA